This 406-nucleotide ribosomal RNA is filed under the name uncultured bacterium. RNAcentral describes it as "partial 16S ribosomal RNA". It matches the Rfam family "Bacterial small subunit ribosomal RNA", at positions 360 to 774 of the family's 1533-position model. The record is from RNAcentral.
AAUAUUGCGCAAUGGAGGGAACUCUGACGCAGCGACGCCGCGUGAGCGAUGAAGGUCUUCGGAUCGUAAAGCUCUGUCCUUGGGGAAGAAGGUCUUCGGACUUGACGGUACCUAAGGAGGAAGCCCCGGCUAACUACGUGCCAGCAGCCGCGGUAAUACGUAGGGGGCAAGCGUUGUCCGGAAUUAUUGGGCGUAAAGGGUGCGUAGGCGGCCUUUUAAGUCAGAUGUGAAAGGCUACGGCUUAACCGUAGUUAGCAUUUGAAACUAAAAGGCUUGAGUGUCGGAGAGGGCAGUGGAAUUCCCAGUGUAGCGGUGGAAUGCGUAGAUAUUGGGAGGAACACCAGUGGCGAAGGCGACUACCUGGACUGAUACUGACACUGAGGUGCGAAAGCGUGGGGAGCAAACA